This 279-nucleotide unclassified non-coding RNA is filed under the name plant metagenome. RNAcentral's name for it is "partial contains internal transcribed spacer 1 and 5.8S ribosomal RNA". The record is from RNAcentral.
UUUCCGAAGGUGAACGUGCGGAAGGUUCAUCAUUGUAUAACGAAGGUUCGAGGGCUUCCGCUGACCAGAAAGGUCGUGCACGCCCGAUUGUCCUCACACACAUCCAUCGCACCCCUACUAGCACCACCCCGGGGGCCGCCCUAUGGCUUGGUCGGAGGGGGGCUUCCGUUUUUACUCAAACUAAGUAUGCAGUGGAGGAUGUAUUUUUUGUUUUUGGGAUUACGCAAGCAAAACAACUUUCAACAACGGAACUCUUGGCACUCGCAUCGAGGAAGAAGG